RNAcentral lists this ribosomal RNA (645 nucleotides) under Ganoderma fornicatum. Its description in RNAcentral is "eukaryotic LSU rRNA". The stretch from base 235 to 388 matches the Rfam family "5.8S ribosomal RNA". The record is from RNAcentral. Lineage: Eukaryota; Fungi; Basidiomycota; Agaricomycetes; Polyporales; Polyporaceae.
UUUCCGUAGGUGAACCUGCGGAAGGAUCAUUAUCGAGUCUUGACCGGGUUGUAGCUGGCCUUCCGAGGCAUGUGCACGCCCUGCUCAUCCACUCUACACCUGUGCACUUACUGUGGGCUUCAGAUCGUAAAGCAGGGCCCUUCACCGGGCUUUGCAGGACGUGUCUGUGCCUGCGUUUAUCACAAACUCUAUAAAGUAUCGGAAUGUGUAUUGCGGUGUAACGCAUCUACAUACAACUUUCAGCAACGGAUCUCUUGGCUCUCGCAUCGAUGAAGAACGCAGCGAAAUGCGAUAAGUAAUGUGAAUUGCGGAAUUCAGUGAAUCAUCGAAUCUUUGAACGCACCUUGCGCUCCUUGGUAUUCCGAGGAGCAUGCCUGUUUGAGUGUCAUGAAAUCAUCAACCUACAAAGCCUUUGCGGUUUUGUAGGCUUGGACUUGGAGGCUUGUCGGCCGUUCUUGGUCGGCUCCUCUUAAAUGCAUUAGCUUGGUUCCUUGCGGAUCGGCUCUCGGUGUGAUAAUGUCUACGCCGCGACCGUGAAGCGUUUGGCAAGCUUCUAACGGUCUCAGUUGGAGACAGCUUUAUGACCUCUGACCUCAAAUCAGGUAGGACUACCCGCUGAACUUAAGCAUAUCAAUAAGCGGAGGA